AGUUUGAUCCUGGCUCAGGACGAACGCUGGCGGCGUGCUUAACACAUGCAAGUCGAGCGGUAAGGCCCUUCGGGGUACACGAGCGGCGAACGGGUGAGUAACACGUGGGUAACCUGCCCUGCACUUUGGGAUAACCUCGGGAAACCGGGGCUAAUACCGGAUAUGACAUGCCAUCGCAUGGUGGUGUGUGGAAAGUUCCGGCGGUGUGGGAUGGGCCCGCGGCCUAUCAGCUUGUUGGUGGGGUGAUGGCCUACCAAGGCGACGACGGGUAGCCGGCCUGAGAGGGCGACCGGCCACACUGGGACUGAGACACGGCCCAGACUCCUACGGGAGGCAGCAGUGGGGAAUAUUGCGCAAUGGGCGAAAGCCUGACGCAGCGACGCCGCGUGAGGGAUGACUGCCUUCCGGGUUGUAAACCUCUUUCAG
RNAcentral lists this ribosomal RNA (426 nucleotides) under Actinoalloteichus hymeniacidonis. RNAcentral describes it as "bacterial SSU rRNA". It matches the Rfam family "Bacterial small subunit ribosomal RNA", at positions 10 to 439 of the family's 1533-position model. The record is from RNAcentral. Lineage: Bacteria; Bacillati; Actinomycetota; Actinomycetes; Pseudonocardiales; Pseudonocardiaceae.